This is a non-coding RNA of Paramuricea clavata, 73 nucleotides long. The record is from the annotation of a GenBank genome assembly. NCBI's taxonomy places the organism in Eukaryota, Metazoa, Cnidaria, Anthozoa, Malacalcyonacea, Plexauridae.
UCUGCAUGUAGCUCAGUUGGUUAGAGCGCUGCAACGGAAUCGCAGGGGCGCAGGUUGCAUUCCUGCCAGAGAA